GGAGGAUUGGAUGAGUGGUUGAAAUCAGCAGUUUACUAAACUGCCGACGGGUAAAACUGUCCGUGGGUUCGAAUCCCACAUCCUCCG
Molecule: transfer RNA, 87 nt
Filed under: Candidatus Kaiserbacteria bacterium CG10_big_fil_rev_8_21_14_0_10_47_16
Lineage: Bacteria; Candidatus Kaiseribacteriota
Description: tRNA-Ser
Rfam family: tRNA
About the family: Transfer RNA (tRNA) molecules are approximately 80 nucleotides in length. Their secondary structure includes four short double-helical elements and three loops (D, anti-codon, and T loops).
Source: RNAcentral